This 94-nucleotide transfer RNA is filed under the name Candidatus Peribacteria bacterium. Its description in RNAcentral is "tRNA-OTHER". It matches the Rfam family "tRNA". Rfam says of the family: Transfer RNA (tRNA) molecules are approximately 80 nucleotides in length. Their secondary structure includes four short double-helical elements and three loops (D, anti-codon, and T loops). Lineage: Bacteria; Candidatus Peregrinibacteriota; Candidatus Peribacteria. The record is from RNAcentral.
GGGAAUUUGGUGUAGUGGAAGCGUCAGCUAUCUUGAUUGCCAAAACAACGUUCGUUGUGCAGCUGAUACCCAGGUUCGAUUCCUGGAAUUCCCA